Molecule: non-coding RNA, 1666 nt
Organism: Triticum urartu
Lineage: Eukaryota; Viridiplantae; Streptophyta; Magnoliopsida; Poales; Poaceae
Source: RefSeq, a predicted model, not a curated record
GCCCAAACCCACCCGAGCCGUAACCCUAGGUCUGUCCUCAUGGACAUUUUCCACCCACCUCCCCGCAUCCAUUCUUUCUUUUUUUUCUCCCCCCUCAGAUCCUCACCCAUCUCCCCCGAUGCAGAUCCUCCUCACCCCCUCGUCGCCGCCACCCACCUCCGCCGCCGCCCUCACUCCCCCCUCGUCUCCCUCGUCCUCGACCAACCUCGCCACCGUGCAGGGGCUGGGUUGUUGCCGCGUGCUGUUCCUGCGGGUUGUCGCUGCGGGGGGCGGCUCCCAUGAUUCAAUCCAAUCCUCUCCCCUGAUCCCACCUGCCGGCGGUGACCUCCUCCCAACCAGCCCCACCGGCAGCCUCUAGAUCCAAGCCAGCAGCUACCAGCUCAGGCCAGCGUGCGCUUUGCUUCGUCGUUCCCCACCCUAGCAGUCGAUCCUGGAUGCCCCUGCUUCACCGGCCUCCUCCAUCUCUUCCGGCAAGAUCUGACGCCCCCGCCCACCUUCUGCCCGCGGAGGAUGACGAGGGCGAGGAUGCGGAAGUCGGCGAGGGGGGAGGCGGCGGCGGGAUGUGCCCGGUGGCCAUCCGGUGGCCCUGCGUCACCUGCGCCCUCAAGAACAAGCGCGGGGACAUGGUGAGUUGCUCUGGUUGGCGCUGCCGCCCCGUACCUUGGUGUCGCCUCUACCACGCCCGCUUCCCCUAGCCGGGACAUCACUUUCCUUGCUACUGCCACUCCGCUCCGCCACCUGCGAGUCGCUGACUGUUGGGAUCCAAGGUACGUGGAGGCUGGGAGCGCCAAGGCACACCUCACGGAUGCGGACGUUGAUCAUGGUGUACCAGCUUUGCAAGGGCGUUGCUUUUUGCCACGGAUGUGGUGUCCGGCACCAUAACCUCGAGCCACACAACCUGCAUAUUGGUGGAUGGAUUGGUAUCCUCUGGUUUGAUCCCAGCAAGAGGAAGUGUUCUCUUCUCUUUAUCAACCAAAGGCACUUUCUUCUCUCAUGGAUGGAUGUGACUCCAUCAAUUUAGUACCAGUUUAGGUGUUAUUAUGCUAUUGAUGCUUGUGUUGACCAUGGUUUUUGUCUUGUCAUGUGCUGAUAUUAACUGGUAGCAUCAGCUCCCAUGAUUGCUUGCUUGCUUACUCUAUAACCUGUACUGCUAAAACAUGUUAUCCUACUCCAUGAUGCUGUAUCAUUUGCAAAUACUCCUGGACAUCAGCUCCCAUGAUGUUGCAUUAGCUAUAUUCUGUACUGCUAAAAGAGGAGUAUAAACUGGAGUAAUUUUUUCAGCCAUUAUCUUUGUUUUCUUUUGGGCAGAUGCUCUCCACUGGAGUACAACUGGGUACUGCAUCUCUUUUUGCAUUCCUUCUUCAGUCAGUGCUUGAACAUUUUUUUUAAAAGAUGAAUUGGAAUACUCCUGGACAGUAGUACAAGGAGUAUACCUGUAACUUCUUGCAGUAUAGCUGUAGCAGUCCAUUAGGAGUAGUUUUGCAUCAGUAGCAUUAUGAGUAUCUUCUUGCAGAAACUCUUUGACACAAAUAUUGUCAUGCAUCAGUAGCAUGUUUGCUUGUUUUGGAGCAGUGAUUAAUUACUUGUAAUGUUUUUCUUGUACGAGAAACAUGUCGAGCUGCUCUCCAACCCUGUGGAAUGUUGCAAUCAAAUAUUCUCUGAUGUC